RNAcentral lists this ribosomal RNA (313 nucleotides) under Salticus scenicus. RNAcentral describes it as "partial 12S ribosomal RNA". The record is from RNAcentral. Lineage: Eukaryota; Metazoa; Arthropoda; Arachnida; Araneae; Salticidae.
AGGUAGUAUUACUAAAUAAAACCUAAUUAUAACUGGCGGCUCCUGUGUUACUAGAGGAACUUGUUAAAUAAUCGACAACCCACGUUAUUUUUCACUUUAAAAAUAAAUUUAUAUAUCGCCAUCUAAAGAAAUUUUUAAAAAAAUUUUUCUUAAAAAUAAAUAAAAAGUUAGGUCAAGGUGUAAUCAAUAUUGAAGGCUUCAAUGAGUUACAUUAAAUACAAUUUAAGGAUUUUAUAUAUAAAUAUAUAAAUAAAAUAGGAUUUAAAAGUAAUUUUUAAAAAUUAUUAUAUUUUGAAAAACUUAUCAAGAGUGC